Molecule: ribosomal RNA, 258 nt
Filed under: uncultured bacterium
Lineage: Bacteria
Description: partial small subunit ribosomal RNA
Rfam family: Bacterial small subunit ribosomal RNA
Source: RNAcentral
AGGACGAACGCUGGCGGCGUGCUUAACACAUGCAAGUCGAGCGGAAAGGCCCUUCGGGGUACUCGAGCGGCGAACGGGUGAGUAACACGUGAGCAACCUGCCCCUGGCUCUGGGAUAGCCUCCGGAAACGGGGAUUAAUACCGGACAUUCUCCGCCUUCCGCAUGGUUGGCGGUGGAAAGUUUUUUCGGCCGGGAGGGGCUCGCGGCCUAUCAGCUUGUUGGCGGGGUAACGGCCCACCAAGGUGACGACGGGUAGCC